GGACGAAAUCAACCAGAAACUUUUAGGGCCUGUUUGGCCUAACUUCUGAAAAAGUGAUUUUCUGAAAAAGUGAUUUUGGUUUGGAGAAGUGAUUUUGGCUAAAAGCUGUAUAGCGUUUGGCAGAGUUUAGAUAGAAGUGAUUUUUUCUGAAGUGAUUUUGAAAAGCUGUUUAGAAAAUUUUUUUUCAUGUUUGCAUAAAUUAAUAUUUUUAUUAAAUUUUAUUUUAAAAUAAUUUAAAAUUAAAAUUUAAAUUUGAAUUAAAAUUAAAAUUUUUAUAUUUCAAAAUUGUACAAAAUUUAAAAUUUGAUAUUUUAAUUUAAAAAAUAAUUUAAAAUUUUAAAAUUUUAAAGUUAAAAUAAUUAUGAAAUUUAAAAAUAUAUAUAAUUAUGAAUUUUAAAAUAUAAAAUUUUAAUAUAUAAAAAUAUAAAUUAAAAUUAAAAUUUCAAACUUUAAAUUUAGAAUUUAAAAUUUAAAAUUUA
This 479-nucleotide long non-coding RNA is filed under the name Ananas comosus (pineapple). Its description in RNAcentral is "long non-coding RNA (ACOM_LNC026432)". Lineage: Eukaryota; Viridiplantae; Streptophyta; Magnoliopsida; Poales; Bromeliaceae. The record is from RNAcentral.